Molecule: ribosomal RNA, 489 nt
Filed under: uncultured bacterium
Lineage: Bacteria
Description: partial 16S ribosomal RNA
Source: RNAcentral
GUAGUUAGCCGGGGCUUCCUUCUCAUUUACCGUCUCUUGCUCUUCAACAAGGACAGAGGUUUACGAUCCGAAGACCUUCUUCCCUCACGCGGCGUUGCUGGGUCAGGGUUUCCCCCAUUGCCCAAUAUUCCCCACUGCUGCCUCCCGUAGGAGUCUGGACCGUUUCUCAGUUCCAAUGUGGCCGGUCAUCCUCUCAGAUCGGCUACCCAUCGUUGACUUGGUGGGCCGUUACCUCACCAACUAUCUAAUGGGACGCGAGCUCACCCUUGUGCGGAUUUCUCCUUUUACCUCGAUACCAUGUGGUAUCGUGGUCUCGUGCGGUAUUAGCAACUGUUUCCAGUUGUUAUCCCCCUCACAAGGACAGAUUGCUCACGCGUUACGCACCCGUCCGCCACUAAGCUUACUUCGAUUGCUCUCUAUAAGCUCCGUUCGACUUGCAUGUGUUAAGCACGCCGCCAGCGUUCGUCCUGAGCACGANACAACUACUGA